Molecule: ribosomal RNA, 379 nt
Filed under: uncultured eukaryote
Lineage: Eukaryota
Description: partial 18S ribosomal RNA
Rfam family: Eukaryotic small subunit ribosomal RNA
Source: RNAcentral
CAAUAGCGUAUAUUAAAGUUGUUGCGGUAAAAAAGCUCGUAGUUGGAUUUCUGUUGAGAGCGACCGGUCCAUACCAUGUAUGCGCAUCUGGCUUGCUCUCGGCAUCCUCUCGAUAGACGUUGCUGCGCUUGAUUGCGUGGCGCGGAUCUCGGGACUUUUACUUUGAGGAAAUUAGAGUGUUCACGGCAGGCUUUCGCCAGAAUACAUUAGCAUGGAAUAAUACUAUAGGAUCUUGGUUCUAUUUUGUUGGUUUCUAGAAUUGAGAUAAUGAUUAAUAGGGACAAUUGGGGGCAUUCGUAUCAACACGUCAGAGGUGGAAUUCUUGGAUUGUGUUGCGACGAACUACUGCGAAAGCAUUUGCCAAGGAUGUUUUCAUUGA